CUUGCUUUCUUUGCUGGCGACCGGCGCACGGGUGAGUAACACGUAUCCAACCUGCCCUUUACUCGGGGAUAGCCUUUCGAAAGAAAGAUUAAUACCCGAUAGCAUAAUGAUUCCGCAUGGUUUCAUUAUUAAAGGAUUCCGGUAAAGAAUGGGGAUGCGUUCCAUUAGGUUGUUGGUGAGGUAACGGCCCACCAAGCCUUCGAUGGAUAGGGGUUCUGAGAGGAAGGUCCCCCACAUUGGAACUGAGACACGGUCCAAACUCCUACGGGAGGCAGCAUG
Molecule: ribosomal RNA, 279 nt
Filed under: uncultured bacterium
Lineage: Bacteria
Description: partial 16S ribosomal RNA
Rfam family: Bacterial small subunit ribosomal RNA
Source: RNAcentral